AUCCUGGCUCAGAAUGAACGUUGGCGGCGUGGAUUAGGCAUGCAAGUCGUGCGACAAGUUUCCUUCGGGGAAAUGGAGGAGCGGCGCAAGGGAGAGUAACGCGUGGAUACCUGCCCCGAGGUCCGGGAUAGCCCAUCGAAAGGUGGGGUAAUACCGGAUAACAUCUCCGGAUCAAAGGUGUGAUUCCGCCUCGGGAUGGGUCCGCGUCCUAUUAGCUUGUUGGUGGGGUAAUGGCCUACCAAGGCGACGAUGGGUAGUGGGCGUUAGCGCGUGGCCCGCCUCACUGGGACUGAGACACUGCCCAGACACCUACGGGUGGCUGCAGUCGAGAAUCUUCGGCAAUGGGCGCAAGCCUGACCGAGCGACGCCGCGUGCGGGAUGAAGGCCUUCGGGUUGUAAACCGCUGUCAGAGGGGAGGAAGGGUCCGUGAAGAGCGGAACUUGACCUAUCCUCAGAGGAAGUGCGGGCUAAGUUCGUGCCAGCAGCCGCGGUAAGACGAACCGCACAAACGUUAUUCGGAAUCACUGGGCUUAAAGGGUGCGUAGGCGGCCGUUCAAGUCGGGUGUGAAAGCCCUCAGCUUAACUGAGGAAUUGCGCCCGAUACUGUUCGGCUUGAGGGAGACAGAGGUGAGCGGAACUUGCGGUGGAGCGGUGAAAUGCGUUGAUAUCGCAAGGAACACCAGUAGCGAAAGCGGCUCACUGGGUCUCUUCUGACGCUGAGGCACGAAAGCUAGGGUAGCGAAGAGGAUUAGAUACCCUCGUAGUCCUAGCUGUAAACGCUGAGCACUGGAUUGGAGGGUCCUCCAUAGCCUUCCGGUCGUAGCGAAAGUAUUAAGUGCUCCGCCUGGGGAGUAUGGUCGCAGGGCUGAAACUCAAGGGAAUUGACGGGGGCUCACACAAGCGGUGGAGGAUGUGGCUUAAUUCGAGGCUACGCGAAGAACCUUAUCCUGGAUUUGACAUGCUUGGGAAUCCCCUGGAAACAGGGGAGUGCCCCUCGGGGAGCCCUUGCACAGGUGCUGCAUGGCUGUCGUCAGCUCGUGUCGUGAGAUGUCGGGUUAAGUCCCUUAACGAGCGAAACCCUUGUCGUUAGUUGCCAGCGGGUCAUGCCGGGGACUCUAACGAGACUGCCGGUGUUAAACCGGAGGAAGGUGGGGAUGACGUCAAGUCCUCAUGGCCUUUAUGUCCAGGGCUGCACACGUCCUACAAUGGUGCGUACAAAGGGAAGCAAACUCGCGAGAGUAAGCAAAUCCCAAAAAGCGCGCCCCAGUUCGAAUUGCAGGCUGCAACUCGCCUGCAUGAAGCCGGAAUCGCUAGUAAUCGCGGGUCAGCAUACCGCGGUGAAUGUGUUCC
Molecule: ribosomal RNA, 1350 nt
Filed under: uncultured organism
Description: bacterial SSU rRNA
Rfam family: Bacterial small subunit ribosomal RNA
Source: RNAcentral